UAGAUAAGGGUUGAAAAGAUCCUAAAGAAGAGAAUUUAGAAGUCAAGAGAAAGUUCUAAGAGGAUCGAGUUAGGUUCUUGGAGAAAUCUGACCGAUACGAGAGUAGUCGAGUUUUAGGAGCUAGAACUCUUGAAGCAAGGUGAAGGAGGAGCACUGUCUUGGUCCGAUUUUCAUGUGGAUCACCAUUGGAGGGUGGACACUUGGAUACCUCAUAGAAAUUUGAAUUAAUGCUAUAGGUAUUAUUUUUAUUCAAAUUUAUAUUAAUUAUACUUUGAUUGGUAUAGUCAAAGAUUUUUGGGCACUAAGAUUUUUGGUGCGUCAGAUGUUUUGAAUGAAAAUUUUAAACACCUAGCCCUUCCGCUAUGCCACCGAAACCCAACAGUGAGUAUCACGAGUAGGUA
Molecule: long non-coding RNA, 401 nt
Filed under: Elaeis guineensis (African oil palm)
Lineage: Eukaryota; Viridiplantae; Streptophyta; Magnoliopsida; Arecales; Arecaceae
Description: long non-coding RNA (EGUI_LNC049469)
Source: RNAcentral